This 664-nucleotide long non-coding RNA is filed under the name Elaeis guineensis (African oil palm). RNAcentral describes it as "long non-coding RNA (EGUI_LNC020798)". The record is from RNAcentral. Lineage: Eukaryota; Viridiplantae; Streptophyta; Magnoliopsida; Arecales; Arecaceae.
CUUCUUUCAUGACAUCACAUACCACCACUCGCGUGAUCCGAGAUGCCUCUUGAAGGUAAAGAGGGAAAGAAAAAAUAUGAUGCUAGGAUCAAUCCCAGUCAAUACGCACACUACAGUAAAACCGCAGAUAUGCCGCUAUGAAUUCAGGACUACCAAACUCGAUGACAUUUCAAAAAAUUGAAAAAGAGCUAUAAGGAUCAAGGGGAAGUCUCAGCUCAGCCUGGAAGCAUUCCUCAUAUAGGCUCAUCCGAUCUGGGGGAGGUUGGCAAACUCGAUCGUUCGACGCCAUGAUUUUCAAUUGAAAUGCCGGAGGGAUCUAAAACUGCUCAUAGAACAGUACCUCAUCCCUUUCCGUUAGCUCGGACUGAAAUUCCAAUGGGGCGAUGUCGGAGUCUCCAGAACCCAUUCCCUUCAUAGUAAAAGAAAGCUCUAAAGUGAAAGACAAAGAAGAAGAACCUAUGGCAAAACAAAAAGAUAAUCGAAAACCCUAGAAGCCUGUCUCAUCUGGGGUUUAAAUAAAUCUAAACUCAAAAGAUCUCCAAAUGACACUUUCUCACAAAGCAUUAACGACAGCAGGCAUGACUGACGAGGUUUUAAUAGAUGCUUGACGUGUGGCAGUCACCAAUCAAAUACAGCUCCUGCCGCUGAUAUGAUAGUUAAUGCC